GAAAAGCAAUGUCUAAGGAUAGGUCGGCGCCUGAUUAGGCAGUUGGUGAGGCAAAGGCUCACCAAACCUUUGAUCAGUAGGGGUCUUGAGAGAGAUAGCCCCGAGAAGGACACUGAGACACUGGUCCUAGCCCUAAGGGGUGCAGCAGGUGCGAAAACUUUACAAUGCACGAAAGUGCGAUAAGGGAAUCUCAAGUGCUUUACAUUUUUGUAAAGCUUUUGCUAAGUGUAAAUAGCUUAGCGAAUAAGUGGUGGGUAAGACUGGCGCCAGCCGCCGCGGUAACACCAGCGCCACAAGUGGUGAUCACGUUUAUUGGGUCUAAAGGGUCCGUAGCUGGUUAGGAAAGUUCUUUGUGAAAUUGUUAAGCUUAACUUAACAACUUGCAAGGAAAACUAUCUGACUUGGAACCGGGAGAAGGCAGAAGUACUUUAGGGGGAGUGGUAAAAUAUUAUAAUCCUUAAAGGACUACCUGUGGCAAAGGCAUCUGCCUAGAACGGGUUCGACAGUGAGGGACGAAAGCUAGGGGAGCGAUCCGGAUUAGAUACCCGAGUAGUCCUAGCCGUAAACGCUGUGAGUUAUGUGUUGCAUGUUCUUCGUGAACAUGCAGUGCCGAAGCGAAGGCAUUAAACUCACCACCUGGGAAGUACGGUCGCAAGAUUGAAACUUAAAGAAAUUGGCGGGGGCUUACUACAAGGGGUGCGGCGUGCGGUUUAAUCGAACUAUACACCGAGAAUCUCACCAGGAGCGACGGCAGGAUGAAGGUCAGAUUGAAGGUUUUACCUAACGAGCCGAGAGGUGCUGCAUGGCCGCCGUCAGUUCGUGCCGUGAGGUGUCCUGUUAAGUCAGGCAACGAACAAGAUCUAUAUCUACAGUCGCUAGCGUCUCUUUUGAGGAACGAGCACACUGUAGAGACUGCCUUGGAAACAAGGAGGAAGGUGUAGGCUACGGUAGGUCUGUAUGGCCCGAAUCUCCUGGGCUACACGCGCGCAACAAUGGUAAGGACAAUGGAUACAACUCCGAAAGGAGAAGUCAAACCUCAAAACCUUACCUUAGUUUAGAUUGGUGACUGUAACUCGUCUCCAUGACAAUGGAAUCCCUAGUAAUCAGAAUUCAACACGUUCUGGUGAAUACGUCCCUUGGCCUUGCACACACCGCCCGUCAAACCAACCGAGCAGGGCUUGGGUGAGAGGUAGUCUUUUUGAUUAUUUCGAAUCUAAGUUCAGUAAGGUGGGUUAAGUCGUCACAAGGUA
RNAcentral lists this ribosomal RNA (1250 nucleotides) under metagenome. RNAcentral describes it as "bacterial SSU rRNA". It matches the Rfam family "Archaeal small subunit ribosomal RNA", at positions 187 to 1445 of the family's 1478-position model. The record is from RNAcentral.